UCUUGAUAAAGAAAUUCUCCAGGCUUUGCAAAAAUAUUUAAUACAGAUUGGCAGGUGGUUUGAGGUUCCAUACCUUCAACCUUUCUUUUUCCUUCACUCAAUUACCAAAUAUACCACCCUAGACUUUCAUACUGCUGCUGAUACUCUCUUUCUCCCUAUGCAAUUUAUCAGCGGGUCUGCAUCUGAUACCCAUAAAAAAACAGAGAAGGGCGCCAAGGCUUCCCAGAAUCAAUUUCUAGAUCCUGCUUUUAAGACCUUUAACAAUAGGGAAGAUGAGGCCAAACAGGAGAAAGAAAAACAUCUUAAAACUAAAUAUCAGCUCCUAGCCUCAGCCAUCCAUCGCCCUAAAAAAAGCCAUUGCUACUCACGGCCCCUCCAGACCCUCUAAUAUACCUUUGGGCCCCAUUUCUGAUGUGGAUGGACUGGACCUUGGACAAAAACCCAAGGCUGCUCACCAAGCCAUGUCCCAAAUGUGGGGCAAUGGGGACACUGGAAGGUGGACUGUCCCCAGGAAAAAACACCUCUCCCCUCAGUGCAGCCAGCUUCCCAAGUCCCCUAAUAAUACAUCUGGGGAGCCCUAGGUUACAGGGAUUGGUGAAUGGCCAAGCAGCAGGCAAAUAUUCCCCUUCUGAAGAGAUUUUAAGGGCUCAACUAGCUGGUAAAUUUCCUCCUUAAAUUAAAAUAAUUAUCAAAAGGUUAAUUAGUAUUCUCCAUUCUGAGUGAGGUCCUAACCUGACAAUAUGUAAAAAGGAGGCUUAUUUCAAGCCCCUACCCUCAGCUUACCUAUGGAGCAAAAAUUUAACCUGUUUGUCACUGAGAGAGAAAAAUAACCUAACCAGCCCAACAGUGAAUGGCGUGUCUCAGUGGUGUGACCUAGCAGCCUCAUCCUCAAAGGUAUGGGAGAUAGUGUUUCAUAGUUUUCUGCAUCCAAGCUGGCCUGAUUACCAACCAGGGAAAAAAGGGUUAAAGAGCCCUGGUGCUUGCACUGGAAUGUAAAAGGCAGGCUUCUUAGGAGGUAGGAGGCCAAUCGAGAUUGAAGGGAAAAAAUGUCAUUUUAACUUCUCCCUGGCUGCGGCAUAUGGAGAAAAAUGAUUUCAGGGCUCUCUCUCUCUCUCUCUCUCUCUUUCUCACUCUCUUUCUAUCCCUCCCUCUCUCUCUCUUCUCGCUCUUUCAUGCUGCUUCUGAAAUAAUUAACGGCCUUGUCAUUUUUCCCCCUAGGAUUCUUGUUUUUUUUAUAUUCUCUAUUUUUUUUUAGCCCAUGAUUUUGAUCCAGCGCACUUAGGUUUAUGUGUUUUUCUGACCAGACCUAUUUUAUCCAACUAUGAAGGUUUUAUACACUCUGCUCUGUUCAGAGUUCAAUUUGCAAAGGUUAGCUCUUGACCUAAUAGGUUUUAAAAAGCUAUAAGGCCUUUGUUUCUUUGUUCUGUUUCUACAUGCACCUGUGUAUUGGCCUGUCUACAUGUGUUUGUGUAUCAAAAUUGUCAUAUCGAUGAAUGAGCUC
Molecule: long non-coding RNA, 1501 nt
Filed under: Marmota monax (woodchuck)
Lineage: Eukaryota; Metazoa; Chordata; Mammalia; Rodentia; Sciuridae
Source: RNAcentral